RNAcentral lists this ribosomal RNA (752 nucleotides) under uncultured Actinomyces sp. RNAcentral's name for it is "bacterial SSU rRNA". It matches the Rfam family "Bacterial small subunit ribosomal RNA", at positions 28 to 776 of the family's 1533-position model. Lineage: Bacteria; Bacillati; Actinomycetota; Actinomycetes; Actinomycetales; Actinomycetaceae. The record is from RNAcentral.
GACGAACGCUGGCGGCGUGCUUAACACAUGCAAGUCGAACGCUGAUGGCCCAGCUUGCUGGGUUGGAUGAGUGGCGAACGGGUGAGUAACACGUGAGUAACCUGCCCUCUUCUUUGGGAUAACGGUCGGAAACGGCUGCUAAUACCGGGUAUUCACUGUCCUUCGCAUGGGGGGUGGUGGAAAGGUUUUUUCUGGUGGGGGAUGGGCUCGCGGCCUAUCAGCUUGUUGGUGGGGUGAUGGCUUACCAAGGCUUUGACGGGUAACCGGCCUGAGAGGGUGACCGGUCACAUUGGGACUGAGAUACGGCCCAGACUCCUACGGGAGGCAGCAGUGGGGAAUAUUGCACAAUGGGCGAAAGCCUGAUGCAGCGACGCCGCGUGAGGGAUGGAGGCCUUCGGGUUGUAAACCUCUUUCGCUCAUGGUCAAGCUGCAACUGUGGUUGUGGUGAGGGUAGUGGGUAAAGAAGCACCGGCUAACUACGUGCCAGCAGCCGCGGUAAUACGUAGGGUGCGAGCGUUGUCCGGAAUUAUUGGGCGUAAAGGGCUUGUAGGCGGUUUGUCGCGUCUGCCGUGAAAUCCUCCGGCUUAACUGGGGGCGUGCGGUGGGUACGGGCAGGCUUGAGUGCGGUAGGGGAGACUGGAACUCCUGGUGUAGCGGUGGAAUGCGCAGAUAUCAGGAAGAACACCGGUGGCGAAGGCGGGUCUCUGGGCCGUUACUGACGCUGAGGAGCGAAAGCGUGGGGAGCGAACAGG